This 358-nucleotide transfer RNA is filed under the name uncultured Microcystis sp. RNAcentral describes it as "partial 16S-23S ribosomal RNA intergenic spacer". The stretch from base 135 to 208 matches the Rfam family "tRNA". Lineage: Bacteria; Bacillati; Cyanobacteriota; Cyanophyceae; Chroococcales; Microcystaceae. The record is from RNAcentral.
AAGGGAGACCUAAUUCAGGUAGGAGACGAAAAAAAAGUAGUCCCAACCAAGAAUCAAUCCCAAAAGGUCGGAGCGAGGCGAAAUUGGCUUUCAAACUAGGUUCUGGGUUCAAACAAGACCUGAAUCAGGAACAAGGGCUAUUAGCUCAGGUGGUUAGAGCGCACCCCUGAUAAGGGUGAGGUCCCUGGUUCGAGUCCAGGAUGGCCCACCUGCACAGGUGGCAAAAACAAGAGAAGCGAGGAAUCAGCACCUUAUCUUAUCUAUAUAUAAGAGAGAAUGCUGGCUCUGAGUAAAGAGUCCAGAGGAACCUUGAAAACUGCAUAGAGCUAGGUGAAAAAGCCAAAAAAGAAGACCGCAA